AAGAGGCAAGUACAUGGUUGGUGUGCGACUAGCUUGAAAUUAGAAAGGGGGGGUUCGAGUCCCUCGUCUCUUG
Molecule: transfer RNA, 73 nt
Filed under: Cyrtodactylus louisiadensis
Lineage: Eukaryota; Metazoa; Chordata; Lepidosauria; Squamata; Gekkonidae
Description: tRNA-Ser
Rfam family: tRNA
About the family: Transfer RNA (tRNA) molecules are approximately 80 nucleotides in length.
Source: RNAcentral